UUCGGAGGGAGUGGCGCACGGGUGCGUAACGCGUGGGAACCUGCCCUUAGGUUCGGAAUAACUCAGAGAAAUUUGAGCUAAUACCGGAUAAUGUCUUCGGACCAAAGAUUUAUCGCCUUUGGAUGGGCCCGCGUUGGAUUAGAUAGUUGGUGGGGUAAUGGCCUACCAAGUCGACGAUCCAUAGCUGGUCUGAGAGGAUGAUCAGCCACACUGGGACUGAGACACGGCCCAGACUCCUACGGGAGGCAGCAGUGGGGAAUAUUGGACAAUGGGCGAAAGCCUGAUCCAGCAAUGCCGCGUGAGUGAUGAAGGCCUUAGGGUUGUAAAGCUCUUUUACCAGGGAUGAUAAUGACAGUACCUGGAGAAUAAGCUCCGGCUAACUCCGUGCCAGCAGCCGCGGUAAUACGGAGGGAGCUAGCGUUGUUCGGAAUUACUGGGCGUAAAGCGCACGUAGGCGGCUUUUCAAGUCAGGGGUGAAAUCCCGGGGCUCAACCCCGGAACUGCCCUUGAAACUGGAUGGCUAGAAUACUGGAGAGGUGAGUGGAAUUCCGAGUGUAGAGGUGAAAUUCGUAGAUAUUCGGAAGAACACCAGUGGCGAAGGCGACUCACUGGACAGUUAUUGACGCUGAGGUGCGAAAG
Molecule: ribosomal RNA, 639 nt
Filed under: Qipengyuania flava
Lineage: Bacteria; Pseudomonadati; Pseudomonadota; Alphaproteobacteria; Sphingomonadales; Erythrobacteraceae
Description: bacterial SSU rRNA
Rfam family: Bacterial small subunit ribosomal RNA
Source: RNAcentral